RNAcentral lists this ribosomal RNA (242 nucleotides) under uncultured bacterium. Its description in RNAcentral is "partial 16S ribosomal RNA". It matches the Rfam family "Bacterial small subunit ribosomal RNA", at positions 91 to 334 of the family's 1533-position model. The record is from RNAcentral.
CGGACCGGCGCACGGUGAGUAACGCGUAUGCAACUUACCUAUCAGGAGGGGAGAACCGGCGAAAGUCGGACUAAUACCGCAUAAAGCAGGGAUCCCGCAUGGGAAUAUUUGCUAAAGAUUCAUCGCUGAUAGAUAGGCAUGCGUUCCAUUAGGCAGUUGGCGGGGUAACGGCCCACCAAACCGACGAUGGAUAGGGGUUCUGAGAGGAAGGUCCCCCACAUUGGUACUGAGACACGGACCAA